This 440-nucleotide ribosomal RNA is filed under the name uncultured bacterium. RNAcentral's name for it is "partial 16S ribosomal RNA". It matches the Rfam family "Bacterial small subunit ribosomal RNA", at positions 338 to 795 of the family's 1533-position model. The record is from RNAcentral.
CCUACGGGAGGCAGCAGUGGGGAAUAUUGCACAAUGGGCGAAACCCUGAUGCAGCGACGCCGCGUGAGUGAAGAAGGAAUUCGGUAUGUAAAGCUCUAUCAGCAGGGGAGAAAAUGACGGUACCUGAGUAAGAAGCCCCGGCUAACUACGUGCCAGCAGCCGCGGUAAUACGUAGGGAGCAAGCGUUAUACGGAUUUAAUGGGGGUAAAGGGAGCGUAGACGGCAUUGCAAGUCUGGAGUGAAAGGCGGGGGCUCAACCCCCGGACUGCUCUGGAAACUGUACGGCUGGAGUGCAGGAGAGGUAAGUGGAAUUCGUAGUGUAGCGGUGAAAUGCGUAGAUAUUAGGAGGAACACCAGUGGCGAAGGCGGCUUACUGGACUGCAACUGACGUUGAGGCUCGAAAGCGUGGGGAGCAAACAGGAUUAGAUACCCGGGUAGUC